UACGAAGGGGGCUAGCGUUGCUCGGAAUCACUGGGCGUAAAGCGCACGUAGGCGGCUUUUUAAGUCAGGGGUGAAAUCCUGGAGCUCAACUCCAGAACUGCCUUUGAUACUGGGAAGCUUGAGUCCGGGAGAGGUGAGUGGAACUCCGAGUGUAGAGGUGAAAUUCGUAGAUAUCGGGAGGAACACCGGUGGCGAAGGCGGCGACCUGGGUAGAUACUGACGCUGAGGUGCGAAAGCGUGGGGAGCAAACAGG
This 253-nucleotide ribosomal RNA is filed under the name uncultured bacterium. Its description in RNAcentral is "partial 16S ribosomal RNA". It matches the Rfam family "Bacterial small subunit ribosomal RNA", at positions 524 to 776 of the family's 1533-position model. The record is from RNAcentral.